CAUGUCCUUUUGAUAAUUAUUUAAGGUCUGGCCUGCUCACUGAGUAUUAAAUAGCUGCAGUAUUUUGACUGUACAAAGGUAGCAUAAUAAUUAGUUUCUUAAUUAGAAGCUGGAAUGAAUGGUUUGACAAGAAAAUUUCUGUCUCUUUCUUAAUUUUGUUGAAUUUUAUUUUUAAGUGAAAAAGCUUAAAUUUUUAUAAAAGACGAGAAGACCCUAUAGAGUUUGAUAUUUUUAUUUAAUCUAAUUUUAGAAUAAUUGUUUAAUUAAAUUUAUUUGAUUGGGGUGAUUGAAAGAUUAAGAAAAUUCUUUUAGUUUUUAAUUGAAGAUUAUCAAAUUUUUAAUCUAUAAUUUAUAAAAUUAAUAUAAAUUACCUUAGGGAUAACAGCGUAAUUUUUCUUAAAAGUUCAUAUUACAAGGAAAGUUUGCGACCUCGAUGUUGGAUUAAAAUUAAUUUUUGGUGCAGUAACUAAAAAAUUGGGUCUGUUCGACCUUUAAAAUUUUACAUGAUCUGAGUUUAGACCGGCGUGAGCCAGGUUGGAUUCUAUCUUUAGAAUUAUACUAUAUUUUAGUACGAAAGGACCAAGUAUGGAUUAAAUUAAUUGU
RNAcentral lists this ribosomal RNA (603 nucleotides) under Cautires sp. UPOL AJ0021. RNAcentral's name for it is "partial 16S ribosomal RNA". It matches the Rfam family "Bacterial large subunit ribosomal RNA", at positions 1816 to 2715 of the family's 2925-position model. Lineage: Eukaryota; Metazoa; Arthropoda; Insecta; Coleoptera; Lycidae. The record is from RNAcentral. RNAcentral also lists the same sequence under 1 other name.